RNAcentral lists this ribosomal RNA (439 nucleotides) under uncultured bacterium. RNAcentral's name for it is "partial 16S ribosomal RNA". It matches the Rfam family "Bacterial small subunit ribosomal RNA", at positions 339 to 795 of the family's 1533-position model. The record is from RNAcentral.
CUACGGGGCGCACCAGUGGGGAAUAUUGCACAAUGGGGGGAACCCUGAUGCAGCAACGCCGCGUGGAGGAUGACGCAUUUCGGUGUGUAAACUCCUUUUAUAUGUCAAGAAAAUGACGGUAGCAUAUGAAUAAGCACCGGCUAACUCCGUGCCAGCAGCCGCGGUAAUACGGAGGGUGCAAGCGUUACUCGGAAUCACUGGGCGUAAAGGACGCGUAGGCGGGCUUGUAAGUCAGGUGUGAAAUCCUACAGCUUAACUGUAGAACUGCACUUGAAACUACGAGUCUAGAGUAUGGGAGGGGGGGAUGGAAUUAGUGGUGUAGGGGUAAAAUCCGUAGAUAUCACUAGGAAUACCUAAAGCGAAGGCGAUCUCCUGGAACAUAACUGACGCUAAGGCGUGAAAGCGUGGGGAGCAAACAGGAUUAGAUACCCUAGUAGUC